GAAUCAUCGAAUCUUUGAACGCACAUUGCGCCCAUUAGUAUUCUAGUGGGCAUGCCUGUUCGAGCGUCAUUUCAACCCUUAAGCCUAGCUUAGUGUUGGGAAUCUAUGUGUGGUCCACGUUACCCUGUAGCGUGGUUACCCUGUAGUUCCUGAAAAUCAACGGCGGAUUUAUAGUAUCCUCUGAGCGUAGUAAUUUUUUAUCUCGCUUCUGUUUAGGUGCUGUAGAUUCUGCCGCUAAACCCCCAAAUUUUUUGUGGUUGACCUCGGAUCAGGUAGGAAUACCCGCUGAACUUAAGCAUAUCAAUAAGCGGAGGAAAAGAAACCAACAGGGAUUCCCCUAGUAACGGCGAGUGAAGCGGGAACAGCUCAAAUUUGAAAUCUGGCCUUCGGGUCCGAAUUGUAAUUUGCAGAGGAUGCUUUUGGUUAGGUACUUUCCGAGUUCCCUGGAACGGGACGCCUUAGAGGGUGAGAGCCCCGUACGGUUGGAUACCGAGCCUUUGUAAAGCUCCUUCGACGAGUCGAGUAGUUUGGGAAUGCUGCUCUAAAUGGGAGGUAAAUUUCUUCUAAAGCUAAAUACCGGCCAGAGACCGAUAGCGCACAAGUAGAGUGAUCGAAAGAUGAAAAGCACUUUGAAAAGAGGGUUAAAUAGCACGUGAAAUUGUUGAAAGGGAAGCGUUUAUGACCAGACUUUUUCCAGGCGGAUCAUCCGGUGUUCUCACCGGUGCACUUCGUCUGGUUGAGGCCAGCAUCGGUUUUCGUAGAGGGAUAAAAGCAGUAGGAAUGUGGUUCCUCCGGGAAUGUUAUAGCCUAUUGUAUAAUACCUUUA
This 826-nucleotide ribosomal RNA is filed under the name fungal sp. genotype 775 JMUR-2016. RNAcentral describes it as "eukaryotic LSU rRNA". The stretch from base 259 to 826 matches the Rfam family "Eukaryotic large subunit ribosomal RNA", at positions 1 to 579 of the family's 3401-position model. The record is from RNAcentral. Lineage: Eukaryota; Fungi.